This 500-nucleotide ribosomal RNA is filed under the name uncultured Blastocystis sp. RNAcentral describes it as "SSU rRNA". It matches the Rfam family "Eukaryotic small subunit ribosomal RNA", at positions 459 to 970 of the family's 1831-position model. Lineage: Eukaryota; Bigyra; Opalinata; Blastocystidae. The record is from RNAcentral.
GGGAGGUAGUGACAAUAAAUCACAAUGCGGAACAAUGUUUUGCAAUUGGAUUGAGAACAACGUACAAACCUUAUCGAUAAACAAUUGGAGGGCAAGUCUGGUGCCAGCAGCCGCGGUAAUUCCAGCUCCAAUAGCGUAUAUUAACGUUGUUGCAGUUAAAAAGCUCGUAGUUGAAAUGAAGGGUAGUUGUGUAAUGAAUACAUUCGUGUAUUUUGUUAUUCAACUACCCUCCUUCUAAAUUCGAUAUAUGAGUAUUAAUUUACUUGUAUAUGGUUUUAGACCUUUACUGUGAGAAAAUUAGAGUGUUCAAAGCAGGCAUUUGCUUGAAUAUAUUAGCAUGGAAUAAUCAUGUAUGAUUUUCAUGAUGUAUUUGAUUGGUUUGGUUCAUGAGAAUAAGAUUAAAAGGGACAGUUGGGGGUAUUCAUAUUCAAUAGUCAGAGGUGAAAUUCUCGGAUUUAUGGAAGAUGAACAAGUGCGAAAGCAUUUACCAAGGAUGUUUU